This 82-nucleotide transfer RNA is filed under the name Rhipicephalus sanguineus (brown dog tick). Its description in RNAcentral is "transfer RNA serine (anticodon UGA)". It matches the Rfam family "tRNA". From Rfam's summary of the family: Transfer RNA (tRNA) molecules are approximately 80 nucleotides in length. Their secondary structure includes four short double-helical elements and three loops (D, anti-codon, and T loops). The record is from Rfam by way of RNAcentral. Lineage: Eukaryota; Metazoa; Arthropoda; Arachnida; Ixodida; Ixodidae.
GCAGUCGUGGCCGAGCGGUUAAGGCGGCGGACUUGAAAUCCAUUGGGGUCUCCCUGCACAGGUUCGAAUCCUGUCGACUGCG